RNAcentral lists this unclassified non-coding RNA (489 nucleotides) under Hevea brasiliensis (rubber tree). Lineage: Eukaryota; Viridiplantae; Streptophyta; Magnoliopsida; Malpighiales; Euphorbiaceae. The record is from RNAcentral.
GGGCGUUUUCUUAGUGUUGGAGCUGCUGUAAUCUCUUGCAGAAAUGAAAAAGCGCCCGAUGGUCUGGUGGCUGAUGCACACCUUUCAGAUGGUUUUCUACAUCUUAUACUAAUUAAGGAAUGCCCGCACGCAUGUUAUUUGUGUCACCUUCUCCAGCUAGCAAAAAAGGAUGGCAACCCACUAGAUUUUGAAUUCGUCGAGCACCACAAGACUCCAGCAUUCACAUUCACUUCUUUCGGCAAGGAGAGCAUAUGGAACGUCGAUGGAGAGCUCUUUCAAGCUCAUCAACUCUCAGCUCAAGUAUUCCGCGGGCUGAUUAACUUAUUUGCUAGUGGUCCUGAAGCCUAAAGUAGCUGAAUCUCUUCAUAUAGGUUAUGUUGCUUUGACUCCCCGAAAAUGGGCCACACUCAUGUUGGAUCCUCCAAAAAGCUCUACUUUUGGACGAUCCAGUACACACAUGUCAAUAUUUUUGAAGAGUCCGAGCAACAU